Molecule: ribosomal RNA, 1107 nt
Filed under: Triticum aestivum (bread wheat)
Lineage: Eukaryota; Viridiplantae; Streptophyta; Magnoliopsida; Poales; Poaceae
Description: partial small subunit ribosomal RNA
Source: RNAcentral
AUGUCGGACGUGACGGCGGUGAUGGCUCUGGAGAUGGAGGAGCCGAAGCUGGUGCUUCCACCGGGCUUCCGGUUCCACCCCACCGACGAGGAGGUGGUCACCCACUACCUCACCCGCAAGGUCCUCCGCGAAUCCUUUUCCUGCCAAGUGAUCGCCGACGUCGACCUCAACAAGACCGAGCCGUGGGAUCUCCCCGGGAAGGCGAAGAUGGGCGAGAAGGAGUGGUUCUUUUUCGUGCACAAGGGCCGGAAGUACCCGACGGGGACGCGCACCAACCGCGCGACGGAGAAGGGGUACUGGAAGGCGACGGGGAAGGACAAGGAGAUCUUCCGCGGCAAGGGCCGGGACGCCGUCCUCGUCGGCAUGAAGAAGACGCUCGUCUUCUACACCGGCCGCGCCCCCAGCGGCGGGAAGACGCCGUGGGUGAUGCACGAGUACCGCCUCGAGGGCGAGCUGCCCCAUCGCCUUCCCCGCACCGCCAAGGACGAUUGGGCUGUUUGCCGGGUGAUCAACAAAGACUUGGCGGCGAGGAAUGCUCUGCAGAUGGCGCCGGCGGCCGGCGGGGGCAUGGAGGACCCUCUCGCCUUCCUCGAUGACGUGCUCAACAAUGAUGACUUGCUCAACAACGCCGAGCUGCUCGACAACGCCGGCCUGCUUGACAACGCUGACCUGCCGAUGCUCAUGGACUCACCGUCUGGCGCCGACGACUUCGCCGGCGCUUCGAGCUCCUCAUCCAGCGCCGCCCUGCCGCUUGAACCGGACACAGUGCAUCUGACCAUAAAGACGGAGUCGCCACCGCCGCAGCAGCAGAUGCAGAGCCCAUACUACUUCAUGCCGGCGGCUGCUAACGGCAAUCUUGGCGGCGCCGGGUACUCACCCUACCAGGCUAUGGGGGACCAGCAGGCCGCGAUCCGCAGGUACAGCAAGCCGAAGGCGCAGGUAGCGUCUUCGUCGGCGCUGCUGAACCCUUCGCUGGGCUUGGACACGGUGGCGGUCGCCGGUGCCGACACCUCGUUCCUGAUGGCGUCGUCGCGGUCGUACCUCGAUCUGGAGGAGCUGUUCCGGGGCGAGCCUCUCAUGGACUACUCCAACAUGUGGAAGAUCUGA